This 933-nucleotide ribosomal RNA is filed under the name uncultured Actinomycetes bacterium. RNAcentral describes it as "bacterial SSU rRNA". It matches the Rfam family "Bacterial small subunit ribosomal RNA", at positions 60 to 1004 of the family's 1533-position model. Lineage: Bacteria; Bacillati; Actinomycetota; Actinomycetes. The record is from RNAcentral.
AGUCGAACGAUNAACGGUGCUUGCGCCGGGGAUUAGUGGCGAACGGGUGAGUAACACGUGAGUAACCUGCCCUUGACUCUGGGAUAAGCCUGGGAAACUGGGUCUAAUACCGGAUAUGACUCCUCAUCGCAUGGUGGGGGGUGGAAAGCUUUUGUGGUUUUGGAUGGACUCGCGGCCUAUCAGCUUGUUGGUGAGGUAAUGGCUCACCAAGGCGACGACGGGUAGCCGGCCUGAGAGGGUGACCGGCCACACUGGGACUGAGACACGGCCCAGACUCCUACGGGAGGCAGCAGUGGGGAAUAUUGCACAAUGGGCGCAAGCCUGAUGCAGCGACGCCGCGUGAGGGAUGACGGCCUUCGGGUUGUAAACCUCUUUCAGUAGGGAAGAAGCGAAAGUGACGGUACCUGCAGAAGAAGCGCCGGCUAACUACGUGCCAGCAGCCGCGGUAAUACGUAGGGCGCAAGCGUUAUCCGGAAUUAUUGGGCGUAAAGAGCUCGUAGGCGGUUUGUCGCGUCUGCCGUGAAAGUCCGGGGCUCAACUCCGGAUCUGCGGUGGGUACGGGCAGGCUAGAGUGAUGUAGGGGAGACUGGAAUUCCUGGUGUAGCGGUGAAAUGCGCAGAUAUCAGGAGGAACACCGAUGGCGAAGGCAGGUCUCUGGGCAUUAACUGACGCUGAGGAGCGAAAGCAUGGGGAGCGAACAGGAUUAGAUACCCUGGUAGUCCAUGCCGUAAACGUUGGGCACUAGGUGUGGGGGACAUUCCACGUUUUCCGCGCCGUAGCUAACGCAUUAAGUGCCCCCCCUGGGGAGUACGGCCGCAAGGCUAAAACUCAAAGNAAUUGACGGGGGGCCCNCACAAGCGGCGGANCAUGCGGAUUANUUCGAUGCAACGNGAANAACCUUACCAAGNCUNGACAUGGACCGGANCCCCCCAA